UCGAGAAUCUUUGUCAAUGGACGAAAGUCUGAACAAGCGACGCCGCGUGCGGGAUGAAGGCCUUCGGGUUGUAAACCGCUGUCAGUUGGGAGGAAAGGGAUGUGCAGAGCAUCUCUUGACCGAUCUUCAGAGGAAGGACGGGCUAAGUUCGUGCCAGCAGCCGCGGUAAGACGAACCGUCCAAACGUUAUUCGGUAUCACUGGGCUUAAAGCGUGCGUAGGCGGCUUGGUAGGUCAGAUGUGAAAGCCCACGGCCCAACCGUGGAAUUGCGUUUGAAACCAUCAAGCUCGAGGAAGGUAGGGGUGAUCGGAACUUAUGGUGGAGCGGUGAAAUGCGUUGAUAUCAUAGGGAACACCGGUGGCGAAAGCGGAUCACUGGAUCUUUUCUGACGCUGAGGCACGAAAGCUAAGGUAGCGAACGGGAUUAGAUACCCCCGUAGUCC
Molecule: ribosomal RNA, 442 nt
Filed under: uncultured prokaryote
Description: bacterial SSU rRNA
Rfam family: Bacterial small subunit ribosomal RNA
Source: RNAcentral